GUGCUGGUGGUGGGGGUGGCCGCCGCGGGUUGGUUCGUGGUCAACCACGUCCUGGUCGGCACGGCGGUACGGCUGCGCUUCGGCGACC
This 88-nucleotide transfer RNA is filed under the name Micromonospora yangpuensis. Its description in RNAcentral is "tRNA-Thr". Lineage: Bacteria; Bacillati; Actinomycetota; Actinomycetes; Micromonosporales; Micromonosporaceae. The record is from RNAcentral.